This 301-nucleotide ribosomal RNA is filed under the name uncultured bacterium. RNAcentral describes it as "partial 16S ribosomal RNA". It matches the Rfam family "Bacterial small subunit ribosomal RNA", at positions 509 to 808 of the family's 1533-position model. The record is from RNAcentral.
CAGUAGCCGCGGGAAUACGUAGGUCCCGAGCGUUGUCCGGAUUUAUUGGGCGUAAAGCGAGCGCAGGCGGUUAGAUAAGUCUGAAGUUAAAGGCUGUGGCUUAACCAUAGUACGCUUUGGAAACUGUUUAACUUGAGUGCAAGAGGGGAGAGUGGAAUUCCAUGUGUAGCGGUGAAAUGCGUAGAUAUAUGGAGGAACACCGGUGGCGAAAGCGGCUCUCUGGCUUGUAACUGACGCUGAGGCUCGAAAGCGUGGGGAGCAAACAGGAUUAGAUACCCGCGUAGUCCCUGUCUCUUAUACA